UGCAGAAUCCCGUGAAUCAUCGAGUCUUUGAAUGCAAGUUGCGCUCGAGGCCAUUAGGUCGAGAGCACGUCUGCUUGGGCGUCA
RNAcentral lists this ribosomal RNA (84 nucleotides) under Allium tuberosum. RNAcentral's name for it is "partial 5.8S ribosomal RNA". It matches the Rfam family "5.8S ribosomal RNA", at positions 73 to 154 of the family's 154-position model. From Rfam's summary of the family: 5.8S ribosomal RNA (5.8S rRNA) is a component of the large subunit of the eukaryotic ribosome. It is transcribed by RNA polymerase I as part of the 45S precursor that also contains 18S and 28S rRNA. Lineage: Eukaryota; Viridiplantae; Streptophyta; Magnoliopsida; Asparagales; Amaryllidaceae. The record is from RNAcentral.